RNAcentral lists this ribosomal RNA (449 nucleotides) under uncultured prokaryote. Its description in RNAcentral is "bacterial SSU rRNA". It matches the Rfam family "Bacterial small subunit ribosomal RNA", at positions 355 to 796 of the family's 1533-position model. The record is from RNAcentral.
UGGGGAAUAUUGGACAAUGGGCGCAAGCCUGAUCCAGCAAUGCCGCGUGUGUGAAGAAGGCCUGCGGGUUGUAAAGCACUUUCCGUAGAGAAGAAAAGCCUAGGGUUAAUACCCCUGAGUCUUGACGUUACCUACAGAAGAAGCACCGGCUAACUCCGUGCCAGCAGCCGCGGUAAUACGGAGGGUGCAAGCGUUAAUCGGAAUUACUGGGCGUAAAGCGCGCGUAGGCGGCUUAGUAAGUCGGAUGUGAAAGCCCCGGGCUUAACCUGGGAAUUGCAUUCGAUACUGCUGAGCUAGAGUAUGGUAGAGGGAAGUGGAAUUUCCGGUGUAGCGGUGAAAUGCGUAGAUAUUGGGAAGAACACCAGUGGCGAAGGCGCUCUACUGGGCCGAGACUGACGCUGAUGGACGAAAGCUAGGGGAGCGAAAGGGAUUAGAUACCCGUGUAGUCC